This 617-nucleotide ribosomal RNA is filed under the name Clostridioides difficile. RNAcentral describes it as "bacterial LSU rRNA". It matches the Rfam family "Bacterial large subunit ribosomal RNA", at positions 678 to 1302 of the family's 2925-position model. Lineage: Bacteria; Bacillati; Bacillota; Clostridia; Peptostreptococcales; Peptostreptococcaceae. The record is from RNAcentral.
CGAGUUUUAACUGAGCGUUCAGUUACUGGACGUAGACCCGAAACCGGGCGACCUACCCAUGAGCAGGAUGAAGCGAAAGUAAAAGUUCGUGGAGGUCCGAACCCACGAGCGUUGAAAAGCUCGGGGAGGACUUGUGGGUAGCGGUGAAAUUCCAAUCGGGCCCGGAGAUAGCUGGUUCUCCCCGAAAUAGCUUUAGGGCUAGCCUCAAGGUGAGAGAUACGGAGGUAGAGCACUGAAUGUCCUAGGGGGUAUUGCACCUACCGAAGACUAUCAAACUCCGAAUGCCGUCAUCUUAUACUUGGGAGUCAGACUGUGGGUGAUAAGAUUCAUAGUCGAAAGGGCAACAGCCCAGAUCGUCAGCUAAGGUCCCUAAAUGUAAGUUAAGUGGUAAAGGAUGUGGGAUUGCACAGACAACCAGGAUGUUGGCUUAGAAGCAGCCACUCAUUCAAAGAGUGCGUAAUAGCUCACUGGUCGAGUGAUCCUGCGCCGAAGAUUUCCGGGGCUAAAACUUACUACCGAAGCUACGGCAUCAGUAAUGAUGGGUAGGGGAGCUUCCCAUACGGGUUGAAGCAUGACCGUAAGGACAUGUGGACAGUAUGGGAGUGAGAAUGUUGGCA